CUAGAACAUCCGUAGCUUGCUAGGUAAGUCUCAUGUGAAAUCUGGCAUCUCAAGUGUCGGGCGAGCAUGAGAUACUACUUGGCUAGGGACCGGGAGACGUAAGGAGUACAGCUCGGGUAGCGGUAAAAUGCGUUGAUCCUUGCUGGACUAACAAUAGCGAAGGCACCUUACGAGAACGGAUCCGACAGUGAGGGAUGAAGGCUAGGGGCGCAAAACGGAUUAGAUACCCGUGUAGUCCUAGCAGUAAACACUGCACACUAAACAUUGGUGCCUCCUCGAGAGGCAUCAGUGCUGUAGGGAAGCCGUAGAGUGUGCUACCUGGGAAGUAUAGUCGCAAGGCCGAAACUUAAAGGAAUAGGCGGGGGGGUACUACAACCAGUGACGCGUGCGGUUCAAUUAGAUUCUACACCGUGAACCUCACCAGGAUCGACAGCAGAAUGAAGGCCAGUCUAAAGGGCUUACCUAACGCGCUGAGAGGGGAUGCAUGGCCGACGUCAGCCUGUGUCGUGAGAUGACCUGUUAAAUCAGGUAACAGGCGAGACCCGUGUGCAUAUUUAC
RNAcentral lists this ribosomal RNA (558 nucleotides) under uncultured euryarchaeote. RNAcentral describes it as "bacterial SSU rRNA". It matches the Rfam family "Archaeal small subunit ribosomal RNA", at positions 510 to 1067 of the family's 1478-position model. The record is from RNAcentral. Lineage: Archaea; Methanobacteriati; Methanobacteriota.